GACGAACCACCCAAACGUUAUUCGGAAUUACUGGGCUUAAAGGGUGCGUAGGCGGUGCGGAAAGUUGGGUGUGAAAUACCUCAGCUUAACUGAGGAAUGGCGCUCAAAACUACCGUGCUCGAGGGAGAUAGAGGUGAGCGGAACUUAGGGUGGAGCGGUGAAAUGCGUUGAUAUCCUAAGGAACACCGGUGGCGAAAGCGCUCUGCUGGACCUAAACUGACACUGAGGGACGAAAGCUAGGGGAGCGAAUGGG
Molecule: ribosomal RNA, 253 nt
Filed under: uncultured bacterium
Lineage: Bacteria
Description: partial 16S ribosomal RNA
Rfam family: Bacterial small subunit ribosomal RNA
Source: RNAcentral